AACGGCGAGUGAAGCGGCAACAGCUCAAAUUUGAAAUCUGGCCCCUCGGGGUCCGAGUUGUAAUUUGUAGAGGAUGCUUUUGGUGAGGUGCCGCCCGAGUUCCCUGGAACGGGACGCCACAGAGGGUGAGAGCCCCGUCUGGCUGGCCACCGAGCCUCUGUAAAGCUCCUUCGACGAGUCGAGUAGUUUGGGAAUGCUGCUCAAAAUGGGAGGUAUAUGUCUUCUAAAGCUAAAUAUUGGCCAGAGACCGAUAGCGCACAAGUAGAGUGAUCGAAAGAUGAAAAGCACCUUGAAAAGAGGGUUAAAUAGUACGUGAAAUUGUUGAAAGGGAAGCGCUUGUGACCAGACUUGGGCGCGGCGGAUCAUCCGGGGUUCUCUCCGGUGCACUUCGCCGCGUCUAGGCCAGCAUCAGUUCGUCGCGGGGGAAAAAGGCUUCGGGAACGUGGCUCCUCCGGGAGUGUUAUAGCCCGUUGCAUAAUACCCUGCGGUGGACUGAGGACCGCGCAUCUGCAAGGAUGCUGGCGUAAUGGUCACCAGCGACCCGUCUUGAAACACGGACCAAGGAGUCGUCUUCGUAUGCGAGUGUUCGGGUGUCAAACCCCUACGCGUAAUGAAAGUGAACGCAGGUGAGAGCUUCGGCGCAUCAUCGACCGAUCCUGAUGUUCUCGGAUGGAUUUGAGUAAGAGCAUACGGGGCCGGACCCGAAAGAAGGUGAACUAUGCCUGUAUAGGGUGAAGCCAGAGGAAACUCUGGUGGAGGCUCGCAGCGGUUCUGACGUGCAAAUCGAUCGUCAAAUAUGGGCAUGGGGGCGAAAGACUAAUCGAACCUUCUAGUAGCUGGUUUCCGCCGAAGUUUCCCUCAGGAUAGCAGUGUUGAGCUCAGUUUUAUGAGGUAAAGCGAAUGAUUAGGGACCCGGGGGCGCUAUAUUGCCUUCAUCCAUUCUCAAACUUUAAAUAUGUAAGAAGCCCUUGUUACUUAGUUGAACGUGGGCAUUCGAAUGUAUCAACACUAGUGGGCCAUUUUUGGUAAGCAGAACUGGCGAUGCGGGAUGAACCGAACGCGAGGUUAAGGUGCCAGAGUAGACGCUCAUCAGACACCACAAAAGGCGUUAGUACAUCUUGACAGCAGGACGGUGGCCAUGGAAGUCGGAAUCCGCUAAGGACUGUGUAACAACUCACCUGCCGAAUGUACUAGCCCUGAAAAUGGAUGGCGCUCAAGCGUCUCACCCAUACCUCGCCCUCGGGGUAGAAACGAUGCCCCGAGGAGUAGGCGGACGUGGAGGUCGUGACG
Molecule: ribosomal RNA, 1290 nt
Filed under: Trichoderma crassum
Lineage: Eukaryota; Fungi; Ascomycota; Sordariomycetes; Hypocreales; Hypocreaceae
Description: partial large subunit ribosomal RNA
Rfam family: Eukaryotic large subunit ribosomal RNA
Source: RNAcentral